AUGCUCCCUUUGGUAGCACACAUGCUAAAAUGGGAACCAUACAGAGAAGAUUAGCAGGACCCCCGCAGAAGGGUGAUAUGGAAAUUUCAUGAAGUGCUUUCCACACUUUU
Molecule: small nuclear RNA, 110 nt
Organism: Camelus dromedarius (Arabian camel)
Lineage: Eukaryota; Metazoa; Chordata; Mammalia; Artiodactyla; Camelidae
Source: Ensembl